Molecule: long non-coding RNA, 746 nt
Filed under: Homo sapiens (human)
Lineage: Eukaryota; Metazoa; Chordata; Mammalia; Primates; Hominidae
Source: RNAcentral
GUGGAAGUCAGUGUGGCAAUUCCUCAGGGAUCUAGAACUAGAAAUACCGUUUGACCCAGCCAUCCCAUUACUGGGUAUAUACCCAAAGGACUAUAAAUCAUGCUGCUAUAAAGACACAUGCACACGUAUGUUUAUUGCAGCACUAUUCACAAUAGCAAAGACUGGGAACCAACACAAAUGUCCAACAAUGAUAGACUGGAUUAAGAAAAUGUGGCACAUAUACACCAUGGAAUACUAUGCAGCCAUAAAAAAUGAUGAGUUCAUGUCCUUUGCAGGGACAUGCAGGAAGCUGGAAACCAUCAUUCUCAGCAAACUAUCACAAAGACAAAAAACCAAACACCCGCAUGUUCUCACUUAUAGGUGGGAAUUGAACAAUGAGAACACGUGGACACAGGAAGGGGAACAUCACACACCAGGGACGGUUGAGGGGUGGGGGGAUGGGGGAGGGAUAGCAUUAGGAGAUAUACCUGAUGCUAAAUGACUAGUUAAUGGGUGCAGCACACCAACAUGUCACGUGUAUACAUAUGUAACAAACCUGCACGUUGUGCACAUGUACUCUAUAACUUAAAAGUAUAAUAAAAAAAAGAAACAAGCAAAACAACUAAUAAAAACUCUAUACUGCCAUUCUUUUCAACUUUUUGUUGUUUCUCUUCAUUCCCUAUUUUACAGUCUAUGUAUUGGAAAUAAAUACAUUGUAGUUAUUAUUUUUAUUGGUUUAUUGUUUACUCUUUCUAUUUGAGAUUUUU